RNAcentral lists this ribosomal RNA (253 nucleotides) under uncultured bacterium. RNAcentral's name for it is "partial 16S ribosomal RNA". It matches the Rfam family "Bacterial small subunit ribosomal RNA", at positions 524 to 776 of the family's 1533-position model. The record is from RNAcentral.
UACGUAGGGGGCAAGCGUUGUCCGGAAUUAUUGGGCGUAAAGCGCGCGCAGGCGGUUUCUUAAGUCUGAUGUGAAAGCCCACGGCUCAACCGUGGAGGGUCAUUGGAAACUGGGAGACUUGAGUGCAGAAGAGAAGAGCGGAAUUCCACGUGUAGCGGUGAAAUGCGUAGAGAUGUGGGGGAACACCAGUGGCGAAGGCGGCUCUUUGGUCUGUAACUGACGCUGAGGCGCGAAAGCGUGGGGAGCGAACAGG